RNAcentral lists this ribosomal RNA (301 nucleotides) under uncultured bacterium. Its description in RNAcentral is "partial 16S ribosomal RNA". It matches the Rfam family "Bacterial small subunit ribosomal RNA", at positions 509 to 807 of the family's 1533-position model. The record is from RNAcentral.
CAGUCGCCGCGGUAAUACGUAGGGUGCGAGCGUUAAUCGGAAUUACUGGGCGUAAAACGUGCGCAGGCGGUUAUAUAAGACAGAUGUGAAAUCCCCGGGCUCAACCUGGGACCUGCAUUUGUGACUGUAUAGCUAGAGUACGGUAGAGGGGGAUGGAAUUCCGCGUGUAGCAGUGAAAUGCGUAGAUAUGCGGAGGAACACCGAUGGCGAAGGCAAUCCCCUGGACCUGUACUGACGCUCAUGCACGAAAGCGUGGGGAGCAAACAGGAUUAGAGACCCCUGUAGUCCCUGUCUCUUAUAC